AUGAACGCUGGCGGCGUGCCUAAUACAUGCAAGUCGCGCGAACAGACGAGGAGCUUGCUCCUCUGACGUUAGCGGCGGACGGGUGAGUAACACGUGGAUAACCUACCUAUAAGACUGGGAUAACUUCGGGAAACCGGAGCUAAUACCGGAUAAUAUAUUGAACCGCAUGGUUCAAUAGUGAAAGACGGUUUUGCUGUCACUUAUAGAUGGAUCCGCGCCGCAUUAGCUAGUUGGUAAGGUAACGGCUUACCAAGGCAACGAUGCGUAGCCGACCUGAGAGGGUGAUCGGCCACACUGGAACUGAGACACGGUCCAGACUCCUACGGGAGGCAGCAGUAGGGAAUCUUCCGCAAUGGGCGAAAGCUUGACGGAGCAACGCCGCGUGAGUGAUGAAGGUCUUCAGAUCGUAAAACUCUGUUAUUAGGGAAGAACAAAUGUGUAAGUAACUAUGCACGUCUUGACGGUACCUAAUCAGAAAGCCACGGCUAACUACGUG
RNAcentral lists this ribosomal RNA (496 nucleotides) under uncultured bacterium. RNAcentral's name for it is "partial 16S ribosomal RNA". It matches the Rfam family "Bacterial small subunit ribosomal RNA", at positions 29 to 507 of the family's 1533-position model. The record is from RNAcentral.